UUGCCGAGACCUCAGUGGUUUCAAAAGUGUAAAACUUUUCUCUUUGCUGCGUCCUGUGAAGAAAUUCGUCCUAGUGCCCAGCCUAGAUGUCCCCCGGUGCAGUUUAGGGCUGUUUCAUCCUGUCGCUGGGAGAAUAAAGAGUCCAACACUGAGAGACCUGGGAUAAAUCAACACAGUAUAUGCACUUACUAGUGCCAUGAGGAAUGCUGCAGCAGCACCAUGGUGCCAUGGCUAAAGAGGCACAGGAAGGUGGAUUUAUGUCCAAACAGGUACAAGAAGGCUGCUCCAAGAUGUCCCCAGGGACUUCUCUAGUUUGAGCAACCUGAAAUGUCUCAAGCACCAUAGGUCUUUAGGGGUGAAAUGCCCUUUGUGGAAGACACAGAACAGCAUUCAGGAGAGUGACAAGCCACCCACAGCAUCCUUUGCCUCCAGCUUGGAUUGAGAGCAUUCAAAACUUGUAAAUCAGAUUCUAGCCCUGGGACACUUCUAAAGGCUGUGCCAAGGUUUCAUCUGAGGGAUCAGAGCUGAAGCACUGAGAAAAUAAAUAUUAAACAAUAGUGACCAAAACCAUAAAGAUGAGUUUAAAUAAUUUCCCAGCUUCACAGCUGGGAACAACUCCAUUGCCUUUGACAUCUUGAAAACAGAUCCAGCCUCUUUCUUUUUGCCAGCUGUGGGAUCUGUGUUGAAAGGCAUUCCACUGCAUGGAGAAUACUAAUUUGUGGGUUUGCUAGGAUUUCCUUCCCUUGAGCAUGCACCUACCAGGUUUGAUGCUAGAAAGGAUGAUCAAGGAGAAGUGUCAUU
Zonotrichia leucophrys gambelii is the source of this 801-nucleotide long non-coding RNA. RefSeq lists it as uncharacterized. Lineage: Eukaryota; Metazoa; Chordata; Aves; Passeriformes; Passerellidae. The transcript is spliced from 3 exons. The record is from RefSeq and is a predicted model, not a curated record.